CGCGGCAACAAUGAGAGUAACAAUCAGUAAUAUUAGCAGCAAAAGGAGAUAGCAAUGACAAUUCUGCAAAGGCAUACCUGCGAAAUACAAUGUAUAGCGGUCUAUACAUCCUAUUUUAUGUGAGAUUUAAAAUUAUAUAAAAUAAAAUGACAUAUGUACUAGCUACCAGAUAAAAUCUUUUAGAAUGAACAGGGGUGGGUGGGUCGGGAAAAGGUAUCGAAGCACAAAACUUGCUGCAGCUAGGCAAAGCAUACAAUGGCAGAA
Non-coding RNA from Paramuricea clavata, 264 nucleotides. NCBI's taxonomy places the organism in Eukaryota, Metazoa, Cnidaria, Anthozoa, Malacalcyonacea, Plexauridae. The record is from the annotation of a GenBank genome assembly.